UGACAUGUUGUCACAUGGGCCUACAUACAUU
Molecule: non-coding RNA, 31 nt
Filed under: Mus musculus (house mouse)
Lineage: Eukaryota; Metazoa; Chordata; Mammalia; Rodentia; Muridae
Source: RNAcentral